UGCCGAGUAUGAUCGGAAACGCGCCGAAAUGGCCUUGCCAAGGUUGGGGUCGAGGGUUCGAAUCCCUUCGCCCGCUCCA
RNAcentral lists this transfer RNA (79 nucleotides) under Stakelama sediminis. RNAcentral's name for it is "tRNA-Gly". The record is from RNAcentral. Lineage: Bacteria; Pseudomonadati; Pseudomonadota; Alphaproteobacteria; Sphingomonadales; Sphingomonadaceae.